Molecule: ribosomal RNA, 747 nt
Filed under: Micropsalliota megaspora
Lineage: Eukaryota; Fungi; Basidiomycota; Agaricomycetes; Agaricales; Agaricaceae
Description: eukaryotic LSU rRNA
Rfam family: Eukaryotic large subunit ribosomal RNA
Source: RNAcentral
GGACCGUAUACAAGUCUCCUGGGAUGGAGCAUCAUGGAGGGUGAGAAUCCUGUCUCUGAUACGGACUACCAGUGCAUAGUGGUAUGCUCUCAACGAGUCGAGUUGUUUGGGAAUGCAGCUCAAAAUGGGUGGUAAAUUCCAUCUAAAGCUAAAUAUUGGCGAGAGACCGAUAGCGAACAAGUACCGUGAGGGAAAGAUGAAAAGAACUUUGGAAAGAGAGUUAAACAGUACGUGAAAUUGCUGAAAGGGAAACGCUUGAAGUCAGUCGCGUCUGCUGGGAAUCAGCCUCGCUUUUGCGUGGUGUACUUUCUGGUUUGACGGGUCAGCAUCAAUUUUGACCACUGGAAAAAGUUGGGAGGAAUGUGGCAGCUCCGGCUGUGUUAUAGCCUCUCAUCGUAUACAGUGGUUGGGAUUGAGGAACGCAGCACGCCGCAAGGCCGGGUCUUCGGACUACGUUCGUGCUUAGGAUGCUGGCAUAAUGGCUUUAAGCGACCCGUCUUGAAACACGGACCAAGGAGUCUAACAUGCCUGCGAGUGUUUGGGUGGAAAACUCGAGCGCGCAAUGAAAGUGAAAGUUGAGAUCCCUGUCGUGGGGAGCAUCGACGCCCGGACCAGAACUUUUGGGACGGAUCCGCGGUAGAGCAUGUAUGUUGGGACCCGAAAGAUGGUGAACUAUGCCUGAAUAGGGUGAAGCCAGAGGAAACUCUGGUGGAGGCUCGUAGCGGUUCUGACGUGCAAAUCGAUCGU